AGUGAACGCUGGCGGUAUGCCUAACACAUGCAAGUCGAACGGCAGCACAGUAAGAGCUUGCUCUUACGGGUGGCGAGUGGCGGACGGGUGAGGAAUACAUCGCAAUCUACUUUUUCGUGGGGGAUAACGUAGGGAAACUUACGCUAAUACCGCAUACGACCUACGGGUGAAAGCAGGGGAUCUUCGGACCUUGCGCGAUUGAAUGAGCCGAUGUCGGAUUAGCUAGUUGGCGGGGUAAAGGCCCACCAAGGCGACGAGCCGUAGCUGGUCUGAGAGGAUGAUCAGCCACACUGGAACGGAGACACGGUCCAGACUACUACGGGAGGCAGCAGUGGGGAAUAUUGGACAAUGGGCGCAAGCCUGAUCCAGCCAUACCGCGUGGGUGAAGAAGGCCUUCGGGUUGUAAAGCCCUUUUGUUGGGAAAGAAAAGCAGCAGGUUAAUACCCAGCUGUUCUGACGGUACCCAAAGAAUAAGCACCGGCUAACUUCGUG
RNAcentral lists this ribosomal RNA (492 nucleotides) under uncultured bacterium. RNAcentral's name for it is "partial 16S ribosomal RNA". It matches the Rfam family "Bacterial small subunit ribosomal RNA", at positions 29 to 507 of the family's 1533-position model. The record is from RNAcentral.